AGAGUUUGAUCCUGGCUCAGGACGAACGCUGGCGGCGUGCCUAAUACAUGCAAGUAGAACGCUGAAGAGAGGAGCUUGCUCUUCUUGGAUGAGUUGCGAACGGGUGAGUAACGCGUAGGUAACCUGCCUUGUAGCGGGGGAUAACUAUUGGAAACGAUAGCUAAUACCGCAUAACAAUGGAUGACACAUGUCAUUUAUUUGAAAGGGGCAAUUGUUCCACUACAAGAUGGACCUGCGUUGUAUUAGCUAGUAGGUGAGGUAAUGGCUCACCUAGGCGACGAUACAUAGCCGACCUGAGAGGGUGAUCGGCCACACUGGGACUGAGACACGGCCCAGACUCCUACGGGAGGCAGCAGUAGGGAAUCUUCGGCAAUGGGGGCAACCCUGACCGAGCAACGCCGCGUGAGUGAAGAAGGUUUUCGGAUCGUAAAGCUCUGUUGUAAGUCAAGAACGGGUGUGAGAGUGGAAAGUUCACACUGUGACGGUAGCUUACCAGAAAGGGACGGCUAACUACGUGCCAGCAGCCGCGGUAAUACGUAGGUCCCGAGCGUUGUCCGGAUUUAUUGGGCGUAAAGCGAGCGCAGGCGGUUUGAUAAGUCUGAAGUUAAAGGCUGUGGCUCAACCAUAGUUCGCUUUGGAAACUGUCAAACUUGAGUGCAGAAGGGGAGAGUGGAAUUCCAUGCGUAGCGGUGAAAUGCGUAGAUAUAUGGAGGAACACCGGUGGCGAAAGCGGCUCUCUGGUCUGUAACUGACGCUGAGGCUCGAAAGCGUGGGGAGCGAACAGGAUUAGAUACCCUGGUAGUCCACGCCGUAAACGAUGAGUGCUAGGUGUUGGAUCCUUUCCGGGAUUCAGUGCCGCAGCUAACGCAUUAAGCACUCCGCCUGGGGAGUACGACCGCAAGGUUGAAACUCAAAGGAAUUGACGGGGGCCCGCACAAGCGGUGGAGCAUGUGGUUUAAUUCGAAGCAACGCGAAGAACCUUACCAGGUCUUGACAUCCCGAUGCUAUUUCUAGAGAUAGAAAGUUACUUCGGUACAUCGGUGACAGGUGGUGCAUGGUUGUCGUCAGCUCGUGUCGUGAGAUGUUGGGUUAAGUCCCGCAACGAGCGCAACCCCUAUUGUUAGUUGCCAUCAUUCAGUUGGGCACUCUAGCGAGACUGCCGGUAAUAAACCGGAGGAAGGUGGGGAUGACGUCAAAUCAUCAUGCCCCUUAUGACCUGGGCUACACACGUGCUACAAUGGUUGGUACAACGAGUUGCGAGUCGGUGACGGCGAGCUAAUCUCUUAAAGCCAAUCCCAGUUCGGAUUGUAGGCUGCAACUCGCCUACAUGAAGUCGGAAUCGCUAGUAAUCGCGGAUCAGCACGCCGCGGUGAAUACGUUCCCGGGCCUUGUACACACCGCCCGUCACACCACGAGAGUUUGUAACACCCGAAGUCGGUGAGGUAACCUUUUGGAGCCAGCCGCCUAAGGUGGGACAGAUGAUUGGGGUGAAGUCGUAACAAGGUA
This 1506-nucleotide ribosomal RNA is filed under the name metagenome. RNAcentral's name for it is "bacterial SSU rRNA". It matches the Rfam family "Bacterial small subunit ribosomal RNA". The record is from RNAcentral.